Molecule: RNA transcript, 3228 nt
Organism: Hibiscus syriacus
Lineage: Eukaryota; Viridiplantae; Streptophyta; Magnoliopsida; Malvales; Malvaceae
Exons: 9
Source: RefSeq, a predicted model, not a curated record
UUUCACCGUCGUUUGUCGUCAUUUCCGCUGUCGUUUUAUUCCUUUCUCCCCACCACAAAGAAACCCUGAUCGUGCCAAAAUAAUUAAUACUAAAAUAUAAAACCCCCGUGUAUUUAGAUCAGAAGGGGCGGCGGCAACUGGAAGAGCGUGAUCGGACGUCCCGUUCCGUUCAGGCGGGAGGCGGCGGUAUCUUUUCCGUACAGGGGAAAAGGACGGUUCCUUUUGAUGUUUUUGAUGGGCGAUCUCCGAGAUUGCUCGCCUGAACCAAACUUCGUGUCGUCACGAGACAGAUCUUCACCGUCACCGUCGAAUCAAAAGGAGAUUAGUGCGGGGUAUUGGAGAAAGGCGGAGGAAGCGACGCAGGGGAUCAUAGCCAUGUCCAGCCAACUGUUGUUUCAGAAGAGAGAAGAAAAGCGGUUAUUGUACGUUCAGAGAUUGAUUAGAAGCUAUCUUGGUUGCGAGGUAUUUCCAUUUGGGUCAGUGCCCUUGAAGACCUAUCUUCCUGAUGGGGAUAUUGAUUUAACAGCCUUUGGUGGCCUAAACCUUGAGGAGGCUAUGGUUAAUGAUGUGUGUUCUGUCCUUGAAAGAGAAGAUCAUAACACUGCUGCUGAGUUUGUGGUGAAGGAUGUCCAGUUAAUUCGAGCUGAGGUUAAGCUUGUAAAGUGUCUAGUGCAGAACAUUGUGGUGGAUAUCUCAUUCAAUCAGUUAGGGGGGCUAUCUACCUUGUGCUUUCUUGAGCAAGUUGAUCGUCUAAUUGGAAAAGAUCAUCUAUUUAAACGUAGUAUUAUACUGAUUAAGGCUUGGUGCUAUUACGAGAGCCGUAUUCUUGGGGCUCAUCACGGCUUGAUUUCUACAUAUGGUUUGGAAACAUUGGUGCUCUACAUUUUUCAUCUAUUCCACUCAUCCCUUGAUGGCCCUUUGGCGGUUUUAUACAAGUUUUUGGAUUACUUUAGCAAAUUUGAUUGGGAAAAAUACUGCGUCAGUUUGAAUGGUCCGAUCCAUUUAUCCUCCCUGCCAGAUAUUGUGGUUGAGACGCCUGAAAAUGGUGGAGGAGAUUUACUGCUUAGCAAUGAUUUUCUCAGGGAAUGUGUGGAAAUGUUCUCAGUUCCAUCAAGGGGAUUUGAGACUAAUUCACGGACAUUCCCUCAAAAGCAUCUAAACAUAGUAGAUCCUUUAAGAGAAAACAAUAAUCUUGGUCGCAGUGUGAGCAAAGGGAACUUCUACCGAAUAAGAAGCGCUUUCACUUAUGGGGCUCGGAACCUAGGGCAGAUUCUUUCCCAGCCAGAAGAAAGAAUUGGAGAUGAACUUCUUAAGUUUUUCUCGAACACCCUUGAUUGGCAUGGAAAUGGGCUAUGGCCUAAUGUUCAAGAUCCCGCUCCAUUGUCUAUGUAUAGAGGAUUUGGUGCAACAUCACCAGCUUCAGGUACAGAGUCAUGUCAAGAAGAUCAAACCCUUUAUGAGUCGGAUUCUUCAAAUUCAAGUACCGUGACUGGGAAUUAUAGAUCUGAUUUAGAGGGAUCAUUGCACAAAGUUAAUAAUGGUGAUGUGUUUGGUAGGGAAGCAAAUUUUAGUAGAACCUUUUGUGAGCCGGAGGGUUCUGCAAAUUCGGUAUGUGUUUCAGAAAUUCGUCACACGGGGGAUGCUACAGACCUGGCAAUCUCCAAAAUUCAAGGUCUUGUAAUUUCAAAUAAUGCGCAUAAAUCCCCUCCAAGUGCAGAGGACAGUUUUUCCUCAUCAGGUCAUGUAAGUGUAAGGCAUGCACCUCAUCUCUAUUUCUGUAACUCGUCUUUGGAUAAUGGGGAAAUGAGAAAUGGGAAUUUGGAAUAUAAACACCCCGAAAAUUCUGGCUCUACUGAAAAAAAUGCAAGUUGUGCUAUUCUUCCAGCGGGCAGUGAGGAGAUGGGUGCAAAUGUACAUAGUGAUCACAGCGUGAAUCAGUUGUCAUCUAGUCUAGGGGUUCAGUCUCCUUUUGGCCGGAAAAACCAUCCAUUGAUUUCAAAUCUUGCUUGGUCAUCUGAGGAUCUAUAUCCUGGGCAUUCUGGUUAUCCAGCUUUCCGCAGUAGUGUCGGAAGUCAGGAAGUUUUGAGCUCAUUGUCUGAUCUUUCUGGGGAUUACGAUGCAAACAUUCGCAGUUUGAGUUCUGGCCAGUGGUGCUAUGAUUGUUCCCUAAGUGCAUCCGUUCCUUCAAUUUCUUCACCUUUGAUUUCUAAGCUUCAGAGGAAGAACUCAUGGGAUGUAGUACGCAAGUCAGUGCAAUUUAGGCGAAAUGCAAUUUCCCCAAUGAAUGCCAACAGUGUUGUCCCACAACAAGCCUAUCCCAUGAACCCACCAGUUUUACCUGGUUCCAGCUUUGGAAUGGAAGAAAUGCCAAAACCUCGAGGAACAGGGACAUACUUCCCCAAUCCCAGCACGACUUAUUACAAUGAUAGGCCCUCGACACCCAGGGGAAGAAACCCAGCUCUGGCAAGAUCACCUCGCAACAAUGGCCAGGCCAUCACACCCCCCAGAGCCAAAUUCACCACAGAGGAGCUGUGACGUGGCACAAAUACAGACAGUGAAUCAAGGUGCUGGAAAAUCUGUGUCGUCUGAACUCCGACAUUCUGCUUCUGAAAAAGCAUUAACCCAUAAUGCCAAUGGCUCAUUGCAUCGACCAGAUAGGUUUGUAGAAUUUGGGUCAAUUGGGGCUUUACCUUUGGUGCGAGCCUCCACAGAAAGUAGCAAGUCGCAUAAUCGUGGUUCUCCUAAUGCUCAAAACUCAAGUGCCAGUCAGCUACAAUUAGGAAAUCGAAGGCUAAAAUCUGCUGCAAGCAUGGACCAAGACAGGAUACUUGUACAAUCAUUCCAUUUAAAGAACGAAGAGGAUUUCCCACCUUUAUCCAUCUGAAAACAACAAAGAGAAACGGAUCAAUCUUAAUUUAUACAGUUGAAAAGUUUGGAAGAACAGUGAAGACAGUAAAUGCUAACAAAGAACGCCUGGAGCCUCAGCUUGUGUGAAUAUGGCUGUUUGAUAGCCAUUCCGAAGCUAUUUUUCAUGUAUGGAGUCGGAUUAGUGUUGUGUGGUUAGAAAGGCGUAUAUGUACAGUUCGACUAACCCUCGUAGCUGUAUGUUUUAAUGGUGAGUUACUGAUGUAUAGGAUUGUGGAAUGAUCCCUUGGUUUUGAUAUCCCAGCCUCUAGUUUUGAUAACACAGAUAGUGAGUUGCCUGAUUGCUGAUGUAACUUAUACUGC